Molecule: ribosomal RNA, 403 nt
Filed under: Pericapritermes nitobei
Lineage: Eukaryota; Metazoa; Arthropoda; Insecta; Blattodea; Termitidae
Description: partial 12S rRNA
Source: RNAcentral
UAUUAUUUUAGAAUGUAAAUGUUGCGUGCUUGAGUAGUAUUAGUUAUGUUCUUGAAACUUAAAGAAUUUGGCGGUAUCUCAUUCCGUUCAGAGGAAUCUGUCCCGUUAUCGAUAGUCCGCGUUGGACCUUACUUAGUUGCUUUGGUUUGUAUACCGCCGUUUAUUGAUUAUCUUUUUAGGGUUUUUUAAUUUUCUGGUUUCUUUAUUUUGAUUUAUUUCAGGUCAAGGUGCAGCUCGUUUCUAAGUGGAAUUAGAUGGAUUACAUUAUUAUUGGUUUUUGGAUUGUUAUUUUGAAUAUUGGCAUGAAAUUGGAUUUGGUUGUAAUAAUUUGUAGACUGUUAUUAUGAUAAUUGGUUCUGGGAUAUGUACACAUCGCCCGUCACUCUCGUUUUUUGUUAAUGAG